UUGGCUCAGGAUGAACGCUGGCGGCGCACAUAAGACAUGCAAGUCGAACGGAAGCCGUUAUAAAAAAGAUUGAAGAUUUAUCUGAUUGAAGUUUUAUAACAAUGACUUUAGUGGCGGACUGGUGAGUAAUACAUGAGCAACCUGCCUAUUAGAGGGGAACAACAGUUAGAAAUGACUGCUAAUACCGCAUAUGCCAUAUGAAUCACAUGGUUCAAGUGGGAAAGGAGCAAUCCGCUAAUAGAUGAGCUCAUGGCUGAUUAGCUAGUUGGUGGGGUAAUGGCCUACCAAGGCGACGAUCAGUAGCCGGACUGAGAGGUUAAACGGCCACAUUGGGACUGAGAUACGGCCCAGACUCCUACGGGAGGCAGCAGUGGGGAAUA
This 380-nucleotide ribosomal RNA is filed under the name uncultured rumen bacterium clone 31. RNAcentral's name for it is "bacterial SSU rRNA". It matches the Rfam family "Bacterial small subunit ribosomal RNA", at positions 19 to 363 of the family's 1533-position model. The record is from RNAcentral.